Molecule: long non-coding RNA, 1072 nt
Filed under: Nicotiana benthamiana
Lineage: Eukaryota; Viridiplantae; Streptophyta; Magnoliopsida; Solanales; Solanaceae
Description: long non-coding RNA (NBEN_LNC040310)
Source: RNAcentral
AUUUUUUACAAAACAAAACAUGUAAUGGCCUAAAUGGCCUAAACUUCUUCGUGGGAAGCAUUGUCACCCUCAAGAUUUUCCAUCCUCGGACUCUCACAAGUCAUCGGGCUCCUCGUAAUCUUUAGGAAUGCCACAUUUUGGCCUAGGCUUCGAGCUUUUUGGCGUUCUCAAUCAUAGCUGAUAUCAUGAAUUUCCUCAAGGUCCUCCCUUUGAGAUUUCCACCUAGAAUGCUCGAUGAUGUCGUUUGCUUGAACCUAAACCUCAUUGGCAUCAGCCUUAUAAGCGGCCACCUUCUCUUUUGUAUCGACUUCAAUUAAUUUAGCCUCCACCUUGGUUUCAAGCUGCGUGGCAAGAUUUCCUCGAUUAGAGACGGUCAUAUUCAACUGCUACAUGGAGCUCCUUGAUCUUUCUGGCCUGCGCCAAGGAUUUCUUCUUUAUACCUCAGAGUUGGACCUCAGCUGAAGUCAUUUGAGCCCGGGCGGUCUCAUGGACCUCAGCGGAAAUCCAUCUUCUUUUUCCAUUCUUCGGCAUCGACCUUUACUCUAUCCACCUCCACUCGAACUUGCUCGAUCUGGUCAAGCUUCUUUUGGACAUGCGCGUUUGAAACAUUAGUCUCUGUGUUCGACUCAUCAUCACUAACCUCAAAUACUCUUCUUACUAGUUAAACCAAGUUUGCAUGAUCCUUCCGAGCCACCUCUAACUUAGCUUGGAGUUUCUUGACCUCCACUUCACAUUGCUCACUAAGAAGUUUGUGAGCAUAUUUCCCCUUAAGGAGCCCUCAAUUCUCGACCUCAUGAUGGGUUAACUCCUCUCGAAAUCAGAGAAAGGCCUCGUGAUGAAGCUCAGAAGCCUACGAAAAUAGAGAAAGAAGUUAUACAAAUUAGCCUAAGUACAAACUUGAAAUCAUCAAGAGGUAUCUUAAGGUGCCCGGUUUAGCACAUGUUGAGCUUCAUUGAACAGACAUAACACUUCUACCUCGUCCAUCUUGGCUUGGUCCUCUUCGGUAACCAAGCACUGAAGGUAGGUGGCCACCUUUAAGGGGGCAGAAAAGACCCAGACAUCCUCUGGAAUC